GACGAACGCUGGCGGCGUGCCUAAUACAUGCAAGUCGAACGAGAGCGACCGGUGCUUGCACUGGUCAAUCUAGUGGCGAACGGGUGAGUAACACGUGGGUAACCUGCUCAUCAGAGGGGGAUAACAUCCGGAAACGGAUGCUAAAACCGCAUAGGUCUUCGAGCCGCAUGGCUUGAAGAGGAAAAGAGGCGCAAGCUUCUGCUGAUGGAUGGACCCGCGGUGCAUUAGCUAGUUGGUGAGGUAACGGCUCACCAAGGCCGUGAUGCAUAGCCGACCUGAGAGGGUGAUCGGCCACAUUGGGACUGAGACACGGCCCAAACUCCUACGGGAGGCAGCAGUAGGGAAUCUUCCGCAAUGGACACAAGUCUGACGGAGCAACGCCGCGUGAGUGAAGAAGGUUUUCGGAUCGUAAAACUCUGUUGUUAGAGAAGAACAAGUGCUAGAGUAACUGUUAGCGCCUUGACGGUAUCUAACCAGAAAGCCACGGCUAACUACGUG
This 498-nucleotide ribosomal RNA is filed under the name uncultured bacterium. Its description in RNAcentral is "partial 16S ribosomal RNA". It matches the Rfam family "Bacterial small subunit ribosomal RNA", at positions 28 to 507 of the family's 1533-position model. The record is from RNAcentral.